AACGUAGAUAGAGGUCGCAUCUUUCAAAAGUACGGUGACGGAUGUUUCAGGGACAGAAGAAGCCGCCGGAAAGGGGAAGAUGCCGAAGGGAUGAAGAACCUGAAGCUUUGUUCCUGGGCAUGGCGCGAACAGUGUCAUGACUGUCAUCGCAGGAUGGAGAGCUAUCUGAUUU
This is a regulatory RNA element of Lachnoclostridium sp. An169, 172 nucleotides long. It matches the Rfam family "Lysine riboswitch aptamer". From Rfam's summary of the family: Riboswitches are metabolite binding domains within certain messenger RNAs that serve as precision sensors for their corresponding targets. Allosteric rearrangement of mRNA structure is mediated by ligand binding, and this results in modulation of gene expression. NCBI's taxonomy places the organism in Bacteria, Bacillati, Bacillota, Clostridia, Lachnospirales, Lachnospiraceae. The record is from Rfam.